Molecule: ribosomal RNA, 896 nt
Filed under: Wolbachia endosymbiont of Dactylopius sp.
Lineage: Bacteria; Pseudomonadati; Pseudomonadota; Alphaproteobacteria; Rickettsiales; Anaplasmataceae
Description: bacterial SSU rRNA
Rfam family: Bacterial small subunit ribosomal RNA
Source: RNAcentral
UUGUAGCUUGCUAUGGUAUAACUUAGUGGCAGACGGGUGAGUAAUAUAUAGGAAUCUACCUAGUAGUAUGGAAUAAUUGUUGGAAACGGCAACUAAUACCGUAUACGCCCUACGGGGGAAAAAUUUAUUGCUAUUGGAUGAGCCUAUAUUAGAUUAGCUAGUUGGUGGAGUAAUAGCCUACCAAGGCAAUGAUCUAUAGCUGAUCUGAGAGGAUGAUCAGCCACACUGGAACUGAGAUACGGUCCAGACUCCUACGGGAGGCAGCAGUGGGGAAUAUUGGACAAUGGGCGAAAGCCUGAUCCAGCCAUGCCGCAUGAGUGAAGAAGGCCUUUGGGUUGUAAAGCUCUUUUAGUGAGGAAGAUAAUGACGGUACUCACAGAAGAAGUCCUGGCUAACUCCGUGCCAGCAGCCGCGGUAAUACGGAGAGGGCUAGCGUUAUUCGGAAUUAUUGGGCGUAAAGGGCGCGUAGGCUGGUUAAUAAGUUAAAAGUGAAAUCCCGAGGCUUAACCUUGGAAUUGCUUUUAAGACUAUUAAUCUAGAGAUUGAAAGAGGAUAGAGGAAUUCCUGAUGUAGAGGUAAAAUUCGUAAAUAUUAGGAGGAACACCAGUGGCGAAGGCGUCUAUCUGGUUCAAAUCUGACGCUGAAGCGCGAAGGCGUGGGGAGCAAACAGGAUUAGAUACCCUGGUAGUCCACGCUGUAAACGAUGAAUGUUAAAUAUGGGAAGUUUACUUUCUGUAUUACAGCUAACGCGUUAAACAUUCCGCCUGGGGACUACGGUCGCAAGAUUAAAACUCAAAGGAAUUGACGGGGACCCGCACAAGCGGUGGAGCAUGUGGUUUAAUUCGAUGCAACGCGAAAAACCUUACCACUUCUUGACAUGAAAAUCAUACCUAUUC